AUACGUACCUGGCAGGGUAGAUACCAUGAUCACGAGGUGCUUUUCCCAGGAAAGGAUUAUUCAUUGCACUUGAUGUGGUAACCCCUGAGAUUUCCCAAAAUGUAGAGUUCUCAAAUGCAUAAUUUGUGGUAGUAGAAGACUGCAUUUAUUCUUUCCUUUG
Molecule: small nuclear RNA, 160 nt
Organism: Sorex araneus (European shrew)
Lineage: Eukaryota; Metazoa; Chordata; Mammalia; Eulipotyphla; Soricidae
Product: U1 spliceosomal RNA
Exons: 1
Source: RefSeq, a predicted model, not a curated record